CCUCUUAUCCAACAACAAACACACACAGCAACUUCAACAAACGAACAAUUUAACAAGCAACCACAAUUUCAACGCUCAACGAAACAACAACGGAAAAAAACAACUCAGCAACAUUCAUACAAUUUCAGAUAAACCUUUAUCUCAAAUUUUGAAAUUCAACUAUCAAUUCAUUUUCCUUUUUUACCCCUCCGUUUUUCUCCCAAAAUCAGUCCCAAUUCUCCUAUAAACACCCAUGUUUGUAGAAGAAGGAGGGAGGAUUUUUUGGAGAAAAAUUGAGAAUUUUGAAGUAGCAUUCCUCUAAUCUCACGUAACCAAAAAUUCACAGCGAAAAACAAUUGAUUCCAGUGAAAUCACGCAAGUUUCAAGGAAGUUAGCUUGAGUUCCGGUGAAAUGGAGUGAAACUCCGGUGGUGAAAACCUCAUCGUUAUAGGCUCGUCGUCAUAGUUUGCUGCCUGAAAAAGUUGUGAACCCGUCCCCUUCUUGUUUUGUUUUCGCCUUCUUUUCUUCAUCUAUUUUUUAUUUUGUUGAAUAUAAGAGUUAUUUUGAUUGCAAGCUGUG
This 558-nucleotide long non-coding RNA is filed under the name Capsicum annuum. RNAcentral's name for it is "long non-coding RNA (CANN_LNC020465)". Lineage: Eukaryota; Viridiplantae; Streptophyta; Magnoliopsida; Solanales; Solanaceae. The record is from RNAcentral.